CCCUUAGACGUUCUGGGCCGCACGCGCGCUACACUGAUCAGUGCAACAAGCAUCCGUCCUUGGCCGACAGGCCCGGGCAAUCUUUGAACGCUGGUCGUGAUGGGGAUAGACUUUUGCAAUUUUUGGUCUUCAACGAGGAAUUCCUAGUAAACGCAAGUCAUCAACUUGCAUUGAUUACGUCCCUGCCCUUUGUACACACCGCCCGUCGCACCUACCGAUUGAAUGGUCCGGUGAAGCCUCCGGAUUGGCGCGCACCUCGGUGCCGCCGAGAAGUUGGCUAAACCUCACCAUUUAGAGGAAGGUGAAGUCGUAACA
RNAcentral lists this ribosomal RNA (315 nucleotides) under uncultured eukaryote. Its description in RNAcentral is "partial 18S ribosomal RNA". It matches the Rfam family "Eukaryotic small subunit ribosomal RNA", at positions 1470 to 1796 of the family's 1831-position model. The record is from RNAcentral.